CGUGCUUAACACAUGCAAGUCGAACGAUGAUCCUCAGCUUGCUGGGGGGAUUAGUGGCGAACGGGUGAGUAACACGUGAGUAACCUGCCCUUGACUCUGGGAUAAGCCUGGGAAACUGGGUCUAAUACCGGAUAUGACUCCUCAUCGCAUGGUGGGGGGUGGAAAGCUUUUGUGGUUUUGGAUGGACUCGCGGCCUAUCAGCUUGUUGGUGGGGUAAUGGCCUACCAAGGCGACGACGGGUAGCCGGCCUGAGAGGGUGACCGGCCACACUGGGACUGAGACACGGCCCAGACUCCUACGGGAGGCAGCAGUGGGGAAUAUUGCACAAUGGGCGCAAGCCUGAUGCAGCGACGCCGCGUGAGGGAUGACGGCCUUCGGGUUGUAAACCUCUUUCAGUAGGGAAGAAGCGAAAGUGACGGUACCUGCAGAAGAAGCGCCGGCUAACUACGUGCCAGCAGCCGCGGUAAUACGUAGGGCGCAAGCGUUAUCCGGAAUUAUUGGGCGUAAAGAGCUCGUAGGCGGUUUGUCGCGUCUGCCGUGAAAGUCCGGGGCUCAACUCCGGAUCUGCGGUGGGUACGGGCAGACUAGAGUGAUGUAGGGGAGACUGGAAUUCCUGGUGUAGCGGUGAAAUGCGCAGAUAUCAGGAGGAACACCGAUGGCGAAGGCAGGUCUCUGGGCAUUAACUGACGCUGAGGAGCGAAAGCAUGGGGAGCGAACAGGAUUAGAUACCCUGGUAGUCCAUGCCGUAAACGUUGGGCACUAGGUGUG
RNAcentral lists this ribosomal RNA (768 nucleotides) under Micrococcaceae bacterium. RNAcentral describes it as "bacterial SSU rRNA". It matches the Rfam family "Bacterial small subunit ribosomal RNA", at positions 43 to 824 of the family's 1533-position model. The record is from RNAcentral. Lineage: Bacteria; Bacillati; Actinomycetota; Actinomycetes; Micrococcales; Micrococcaceae.